UCCAGAGAUUAGCUUGCUUUAGUUGUCAGCUAAGUGGCGCACGGGUGAGUAAUGUAUAGAUAACCUGCCCUCUAGAAAGGAAUAACAGUUGGAAACGACUGCUAAUGCCCUAUAUGCCUUUAAUACAUAAGUAUGCAAGGGAAACGCUUUAGUGCUAGAGGAUGGGUCUGUAUGGUAUCAGCUAGUUGGUGAGGUAAUGGCUCACCAAGGCUAUGACGCCUAACUGGUUUGAGAGGAUGAUCAGUCACACUGGAACUGAGACACGGUCCAGACUCCUACGGGAGGCAGCAGUGGGGAAUAUUGCACAAUGGACGAAAGUCUGAUGCAGCAACGCCGCGUGGAGGAUGACACAUUUCGGUGCGUAAACUCCUUUUAUAUAGGAAGAUAAUGACGGUACUAUAUGAAUAAGCACCGGCUAACUCCGUGCCAGCAGCCGCGGUAAUACGGAGGGUGCAAGCGUUACUCGGAAUCACUGGGCGUAAAGAGCGUGUAGGCGGGUAUAUAAGUCAGAAGUGAAAUCCUAUAGCUUAACUAUAGAACUGCUUUUGAAACUGUAUACCUAGAAUGUGGGAGAGGUAGAUGG
RNAcentral lists this ribosomal RNA (583 nucleotides) under uncultured Arcobacter sp. RNAcentral describes it as "bacterial SSU rRNA". It matches the Rfam family "Bacterial small subunit ribosomal RNA", at positions 62 to 664 of the family's 1533-position model. Lineage: Bacteria; Pseudomonadati; Campylobacterota; Epsilonproteobacteria; Campylobacterales; Arcobacteraceae. The record is from RNAcentral.